CCUUCCUGCGGCGGCCGCCACCAGCCGGAAUAGCAACCGGCGGAGCCCGUGCGCACCGCAGCGCAGCGCAGCGGCCGGGGGGUGCGGGCGCCCUCGCCGCCCGGCUACCUACCGCCGCCUGGGCGCCGCCGCUGCCUCCCUUCCCCGCUUCUACCCUCCAGCAGACGCCCGCCGGAGCGACCCCUCCCAGGGUGACCGGGGGAAGGUGGGUGGCGUUGACCUCACCUUGCUUGGGGAGGGUCGGGGACUCGGGGAGUGAGUUUCUCUCUCUCUACUCCCCGGGGUCUCUCCUCGACCCCCAUCUCCUGGGGUAUCCCCCGCUCGGAUCCGCCGCCCAGAGUGACCCCGCCCCUGCUCUCCGGCAGGUGUUCCACGUGGCCAUAGCGUUUGCGUCACAAUGACCUGGCGGACAGAACACCAGUAAGGUGCUAGUGAGAACCCGAAACAGUUUCUAAGGAGAAUGGCUAUUGAAUGAUGGGAUCAGAAAUUAGGAG
This 494-nucleotide long non-coding RNA is filed under the name Homo sapiens (human). Its description in RNAcentral is "non-protein coding lnc-NXPH1-2:15". Lineage: Eukaryota; Metazoa; Chordata; Mammalia; Primates; Hominidae. The record is from RNAcentral.